RNAcentral lists this ribosomal RNA (476 nucleotides) under uncultured bacterium. RNAcentral's name for it is "partial 16S ribosomal RNA". It matches the Rfam family "Bacterial small subunit ribosomal RNA", at positions 28 to 507 of the family's 1533-position model. The record is from RNAcentral.
GAUGAACGCUAGCGGCAGGCCUAACACAUGCAAGUCGAGGGAGAAGCCUUUCGGGGCAGCACCCGGCGCACGGGUGCGUAACGCGUAUGCAACCUACCUUUCACAGGGGGAUAGCCCGAAGAAAUUUGGAUUAAUACCCCAUAAUAUUGUUGGAUGGCAUCAUCUGAUAAUUAAAACUGCGGUGGUGAAAGAUGGGCAUGCGUCCUAUUAGCUAGUUGGAGUGGUAACGGCACCCCAAGGCUACGAUAGGUAGGGGUCCUGAGAGGGAGAUCCCCCACACUGGUACUGAGACAGGGACCAGACUCCUACGGGAGGCAGCAGUGAGGAAUAUUGGUCAAUGGUCGGAAGACUGAACCAGCCAUGCCGCGUGCAGGAAGAAUGCCUUAUGGGUUGUAAACUGCUUUUAUAUGGGAAGAAUAAGGUGUACGUGUACAUUGAUGACGGUACCAUAUGAAUAAGCAUCGGCUAACUCCGUG